This 490-nucleotide ribosomal RNA is filed under the name uncultured bacterium. RNAcentral describes it as "partial 16S ribosomal RNA". It matches the Rfam family "Bacterial small subunit ribosomal RNA", at positions 30 to 507 of the family's 1533-position model. The record is from RNAcentral.
AUUGAACGCUGGCGGCAGGCCUAACACAUGCAAGUCGAACGGUAACAGGAAGAAGCUUGCUUCUUUGCUGACGAGUGGCGGACGGGUGAGUAAUGUCUGGGAAACUGCCUGAUGGAGGGGGAUAACUACUGGAAACGGUAGCUAAUACCGCAUAACGUCGCAAGACCAAAGAGGGGGACCUUCGGGCCUCUUGCCAUCGGAUGUGCCCAGAUGGGAUUAGCUAGUAGGUGGGGUAACGGCUCACCUAGGCGACGAUCCCUAGCUGGUCUGAGAGGAUGACCAGCCACACUGGAACUGAGACACGGUCCAGACUCCUACGGGAGGCAGCAGUGGGGAAUAUUGCACAAUGGGCGCAAGCCUGAUGCAGCCAUGCCGCGUGUAUGAAGAAGGCCUUCGGGUUGUAAAAUACUUUCAACGGGGAGGAAGGGAGUAAAGUUAAUACCUUUGCUCAUUGACGUUACCCGCAGAAGAAGCACCGGCUAACUCCGUG